GGAUGUGAGGGUGACCUGGGUGAGGUAUCUGUCAACCUAUUGAUCAUCAGGGUUUAUUUGAGUGAUGUAGCUGGCUAUCUAAGUGUCACCUUUCUCCUACACAUUUCCUUGUGUGUACCUGGAGAAACUACAUGCUUUAUCAAAGAGAACAACUGCCCCAAUAGAGAAGGAUAGUUCUUUGGUGUUGGUUAUAUGCAUUGUAUAUUAGUUGUUGGGAUCAUCUGUUUAUGCAUAUUAUUCAACCAUAAAGAAGAAUAGAAUCGUGCUUU
RNAcentral lists this small nuclear RNA (269 nucleotides) under Mus pahari (shrew mouse). Its description in RNAcentral is "sRNA (MGP_PahariEiJ_G0007928.1)". The stretch from base 1 to 199 matches the Rfam family "7SK RNA". Rfam says of the family: 7SK was discovered as an abundant small nuclear RNA in the mid-70s but a possible function has only recently been suggested. Lineage: Eukaryota; Metazoa; Chordata; Mammalia; Rodentia; Muridae. The record is from RNAcentral.